GAUGAAGAACGCAGCGAAAUGCGGUAAGUAAUGUGAAUUGCAGAAUUCAGUGAAUCAUCGAAUCUUUGAACGCACCUUGCACCCUUUGGCAUUCUGAAGGGUAUGCUCGUUUGAGUGUCAUUGUACUCUCACACUCCCGAUCUUUGCAUUGGGAGCAGUGGACUUGGGUUUGCUGCUUCACCGUCGCUUACCUCAAAUAGGUUAGUGCAACUCUUGGUUGGACAUAGUACGGCGUGAUAAGUGUUCUUCGCCGGUGCCUCGCAAAGAGGGUGGCCGAUCGGGAUGUUGUGCUCCAAACCGUCUUCGGACAAUCUCUGACGACUUGACCUCAAAUCGAGUAAGACUACCCGCUGAACUUAAGCAUAUCAAUAAGCGGAGGA
Molecule: unclassified non-coding RNA, 380 nt
Filed under: soil metagenome
Description: partial contains 5.8S ribosomal RNA, internal transcribed spacer 2, and large subunit ribosomal RNA
Rfam family: 5.8S ribosomal RNA (bases 1-120)
Source: RNAcentral